This is a long non-coding RNA of Strigops habroptila (Kakapo), 1182 nucleotides long. RefSeq lists it as uncharacterized. The transcript is spliced from 2 exons. The record is from RefSeq and is a predicted model, not a curated record. Lineage: Eukaryota; Metazoa; Chordata; Aves; Psittaciformes; Psittacidae.
AUAAAAAGGCAUUUUAAUGUUUAUUGUGAUCUUCAGAAAAACAUAUAAAAACUUUGAAAUGUGAGUCUCAGACUGCUCGUCUUCACCACAAUUAAAGGCAUAUAACCUUAUUCUUGACAACAAAACUGACUUUACCAAUGGGUGUUGCAAUCACAGGACAAUUUAGGGACCUCAAGAGGUCUCUAGCCCAAACCACAGCUCCAAGCGCCUACAUCCAACUCCAUGAGCUUCCUCUGCCCCUUGCGUUUAGCAGUUCCGGGGAUACACCGGCGAGAACAACUCUUCCGGGUCCCCAUCCCUGCGGUGACCACCCUCAACCCAAGAACUCUCCCUAACUCUUACACCCCGUUCUCCUCUCCCCUGUCCCUACUCCGAGAAGACCCUAUCCCCGCCUUCCCGCUCUAUCCGGCUCCGGAUAACAGCACCCUGACCCCCUCCAUAGCCCCAUCGCCGGAGGGCACACAGCCCCGCCGGUCACCGAGACCGGGGCGCGCCGUUUGCCCGCGGGAUCAAGGCGGAGCGCUCCCCUCCCCGGGUCACCUUGCCCCGCCGCAGGCCCGGCCCCUUCCCUUCGCCUCCAGGCCCCGACCCCGCCUCACCCCUCAUGCCCCGCGGCCUACAGCGGCGGGGCGGCCCGGGGAUGGAGGAAGGGGAGCAGGCCGCGGCGGAGCGCGGUUGCCAGGCAGCGCGGAGGGCCCCGCGGGUCGACGCUCGGGCGGUGGUGCCGGCGGGUCGGUACUCACGGCGGAGGAAGCGGCCCAGCAGGCGGGCGGCGGCGCGGCUGCAGUGAGACAUCGUCCCCUUCGGCAAUGACACCGGCCCGGCGGAGCGCGGCGCCUGAGCACUUGCCCACCCCGGCGCGGCGCGGCGCCGGGCAGCCCUGCGAGCGGAUUGGCUCAUCGCAGAGGCCCCAUUAAGAUUCUUGACAGCAGCGUUUUCGUUCUGCUAAACUUCAGGGGAUGUAUAUUCUGGAAGAGAAUGUGGUUAAUGAACCACAUGACAAGGACUUUAAACAAACAUUCACAAGAAGAGCAUGUGUCAGGGACAAUGAUUACAGGAGAGGCCUCUCCAGAGCAAACAGAGGAUAUAUGUGUAUGUGGGACUUGUAGGAAAGGUAGAAAAAUCAGGGAAAGCUGUGAAAUCAACUAAUUUAUUGCAAAAUAAAGUUAUUUCAGCCAUGAA